CCCCUCCUGCCCAGGCCCCAACCAAGGCGCAUACACUGAUUUCUUCACGACCAAACCAAGCCAGUCAACCCCAUCAGCAUUUUGUAUAUCCCUACAAGGGCGAAGCCUCUAGGACAGAGCAGCUGAGCCACGUGCAGGAGGGCCAGCCAAACCCACCAUUCUUCCCGUCCCUCCACAACAAGAAUCUCCCGCCAGUAAGUGUUGAGUGUCUGCACGCACGCUUGUUUCUUCACUCGGUUAUUUUCUUCUGGCUACAGAUAGUGUGUGAAAUGUUUUCCCUUUCAGGUGAGGGUCACAAACAUUUAUCCUCACAGUACCAUGGCACUGUGAGAAGGAAGGCUCGUGAUCCGAGGUCUGCAUUCAGCUUCUGUCUUUCAGUACCAUUGUGUAUUAGCCCUCCUGCUGUUC
Molecule: long non-coding RNA, 408 nt
Filed under: Rattus norvegicus (Norway rat)
Lineage: Eukaryota; Metazoa; Chordata; Mammalia; Rodentia; Muridae
Description: long non-coding RNA NONRATT027899
Source: RNAcentral